CAACCGCAGGCUCAUGUAAUGUAAUCCUUUUAGCAAGCUUACCAACUCCAUUUUAAAAGUUAAUUUCCCUGACAUAAGAGAUACUGCUGCUCACGCACUGAAACGUUAAGAAAAUAGAACUGCAGCAGCAAUAAAUACAACCAGCAUUCACCAAAAGAAGGCAAAGCUUCUCUCAGCAAAGUCUGUCAUCUGUUUUCCUCUACUGAACUCAAAAAAGGCAGUCGCUGGAAAGGAUAUUUUAUAUGCCUGUUACCUUCACAUACACAUAUGGAUUAGUUCCUGAAUUGAAGAAACACUAAGGAUAAUGAACUAAAUCCCAGACCACUGUCACUGUGGCUAUCAUCUCAUGACACAACAUACCCUGUGGCACUGUCCUGUGCAGAAGCACAGACAAAUAUAGAAGCCUCAUUCAUCCGGUUCAGAAGCACUCACUGAAAAUAAGUCAGAUGAAUCACAACUUUAAAGAGCCUCAUUAUCUUUGCUAACAAGGUGACUAAGGAAGAUGUUUGAAGUUUGUACUACAUGCCUGUAAUGCUGCGUGGAAAAGAAAACCACAACUUUUUCCAUAUCCAGUAAGUACAUUUGCUUGAAAAGUCUUUUUCUUUUGGGGAAGAAUCACUCAAGACAUUGGUAAAACAUGAGUUUGAAAAAACAUUGCUUGAAAGUAUUCUUAUUAUCUCUUUAAUGAAAAGGAAUGGAUGAGCAUUUACUUUGAGAUACUUGGGAUUCUUCGUUAUUUGAUACAUAUCCAAUAAUUUCUGGAAAAUUCCUGAAAGUAUCAUGUAUGUAUCACAAUUUGCAGAAGAUGUAAUUAGAUCUCAAGAGAAGCUGCAAGCUAUGAAACAAGAGAGAUAAUAAAUGAAUGAAAAUAGGAGCCUGGAAAAGUUGUGAGACAUGAAAAGAAGACGGAUGGUUUGGUGCAGGCCUUAGAAAUGAAACAAGAGUCAUAGAAUGUAGGGAGAAGAGAAAUGGUCUUAGCAUUGAGUGUUCAAAUACUGCUUUUAUGGUACUGAGAGGCAGGGAUUGCACUGCAAAUAUCUACUGAAGGAACCUCUCCUAACAUGAAGUCUGCUUUUUUACAAGCUAAGUAUAGUCUCCAUUCUAUUUGUGGCCCCUAGCAAAGUGUUGGGGCACUUAACAGAAAGCACUAAGACUGCUGAAAAAUGUGAUAAUCUCUCGUGGAGCCCAAGUCUGGGUGCAAGAGGUGAGUGUCCUGCCCCAGCAGGCACUCUGUCCUGACUCUCUCCUCUUCCCAUAGGCCACUGCUAAUCCUGGUCAGGGCUGUUUCUGAAAUCCCAACUGGAGCAGACCCAUUCACCAGGUGACAAGCUUGUGUAAGGCAACUACGGGAAGACGUUUAAACCCAAAUCAAUACAUAAACAUUUCAAUAAAGAUAAAAAACAGUCAUUGCCAAUUUGUUAAACAGUCCAACAGUUAGUACAAUACUUCACUUAUAAAACUAUUUGAAAAUCUGUCUAUUUUCAUUUGGUUAAAAAAAAAAAAAGAACAAAAGCAAAUGCAAACCAAACCCAGAUGCAAAUGCAAGGAUAGUUUAAAAGAACAAUCUUUUACAAGAAUCUAGAAAUAUUUCAUGACAAAACCUGGAAAUAGUGUGACACUCAACUGUCUGUCUACUGACAGUUUCCACCACCAACAUUUAGACAAAAUAUAAGCCAAGAUCUAAAAACUGUAAAUCAUGGAGAAAGCUCUAUGUACCACGCAGACUGCACCUUAUAGCUCCUGGAUGUGCCACUGGGAAAUCAACUCCUCACUCUCAUCCACACUAACAGUAAGAGGCACUCCAUUUUUCUCAAGACACAGAACUGUACAAUCACCAUGACUGGAAAUGAUUAUCUAGUCCAAACGUCCACCUACCACCAAUUUUUCCCCACUAAACCAUGUCCCUUAGUACAAGGUCUAAACACUUCUCAAACACCUCCAGGGAGUGUGAGUCAACCAUUUUCCUGGCCAGGCUGUUAAAAUACCUCACCACUCUACUGGGGAACAAAUUUUUCCUAAUACCCAACCUGAACCUCCUCUGGUGCAACUUGUCCUAUUGCAGUUACCUGGGAGAAGAGGCCAACCCUACUCGCCACAAUCUCCUUUCUGAGAAUUGUAGAGAGUUGUAAGGUCUGCCCUGAGAUUCCUCCAGACUAAACAAUCCCAAUUCCCACAGCUGCUCCUCAUAAGACUUGAGUUCCAGACCCCUCACCAGCCUUACUGUCCUCCUCUGGACACGCUCCGGGGCCUCUGUCUUAUUACACUAUUCCCCAUUCAACACUUUGUGAUGGUGUAGAUCAGAGGUGCAAAACACACUCAACCAGGUAAGUUAGGUCUGUGUCCUGCUGGUAGACUAAAAUAAUCAAGCUUCCCAAAAGAGCUGCUAGGGCACAGCGAGCUGCAUCACCAGCCUUGGGCCUGCCACUCAUCUCUUCUCUUUCCCUGCACUUGGGUUUUGCACUCAGAGUGGCUGGGCAGAGAGGGAGAACCCAUAGUGACUGACUGUCAGAAACUGCUGCAUGACAGAAUGAUGCAGUUCAGUGCAGGUAAAUUGGGAGCUUUAAGGUAGCCCAUUAGAGAUAAGACCUUCUGAGGCAUACAGGUGGAUUUUUUUUUGUUAACCUUUACAAUAGCAAGCAGUGAUCUUAUACACCAGAAAUAGCUUUCUUGAACUGAUGGGCCAGGGAUGCUACUCACUCCCAAAUUCAAAAACAAGGUUUGCCUCUGUGAGCAGAACCCAGAACUGCCCCACAUCAGACCAGAGCCAGCUCCAGCUGCUCCAAAAGCGAACUGCUGCUGCCAGAGCUGAGCUGUGAAUGAUGCUGGGUGCAGCUCUGGGAGAGCAGACCGAAAACAAGGAAAAACUGCAGUGCAACAGCAGCUGGGAGAGACGAGUGAGAUGCGUGACAUGAGCAACCCUGCAGGUACCAAGGUAAGCGUAGAAGAAGGGUGGGAGAUGUUCUAGGUGUGGAGCAGAAGUUCCAGUAGCCCAGGAGAGUCCUGUGGAGAUGCAGGCCUUACUCAUGCACCUGAUGAGCACCACAGAAAGUAUAUCUCCAGGUCUAGCCACGAAGGAGCCCAUAGUGGACUAGGCAGAGAGGACCAUAAAGGAGCAGCAGGGACAAAGCAUUACAGACCAAUCACUGCCCCCAUUCCCUGUUCCUCUGUGUCCAUCAGGGGGACGAGGCAGAAGAUUUGGGCACGAAGUUGAGGCUGAGAAGUAGGGGGUGGAUUGGAGGAAGGUGUUUUAAGCUUUGUUUCUCAUUAUGCUACUCUAUUUUUAAUUGCAACAAAUUAAAUUAAUCUUCCCCAAGCAGCAUCUGUUUUGCCUGUGCAGCCAUCAGUGAGUGAUAUCCCUGCCUUUAUCUCAGCCCAGCGGCUGAGAUCUCAUCUUCUCCCUGCGCCUUGCUGUGCAGAGGGAACAAGAGAGCAGCUUGGUGGGCACCUGGCAGCCAGCCAAGGUCAACCCACCACGGAGGCUCAAAGUCUGCCUUUAGAAGCAAAGGAAAGAACAACCGACACGUUUUUAUGGCUGCUCAUGCACGUCUCAAGAGUCCGCUGAGAACUACAGCAUCACCAGUGAGACUUCCAAAGGAGUGUCCAAUGGAAAACAAAAUAUUGACAGCACGUGUGUGGAUGUCAAUUCUGCAAAGCUAUCUUAAAGUGAAAGUUUUAUGCGUUCUGUGUGAAUCAUUAUAUACGUAAUAUAUUUUAUAGUACAGCGUAUUAUACAUAGCAGAUAUAUCAUGCAUCCUCUCUCCAGAAAUAUAUAUACAUGCAUACAAA
Long non-coding RNA from Centrocercus urophasianus (Greater sage-grouse), 3786 nucleotides. RefSeq lists it as uncharacterized. The record is from RefSeq and is a predicted model, not a curated record. NCBI's taxonomy places the organism in Eukaryota, Metazoa, Chordata, Aves, Galliformes, Phasianidae. The transcript is spliced from 4 exons.